This 743-nucleotide long non-coding RNA is filed under the name Ananas comosus (pineapple). RNAcentral describes it as "long non-coding RNA (ACOM_LNC014132)". The record is from RNAcentral. Lineage: Eukaryota; Viridiplantae; Streptophyta; Magnoliopsida; Poales; Bromeliaceae.
CCACAUAGUAAAAUCAUAAAAAUAUAGUCCCUGAAUAAAAAAGGUGUAAAAUAUUUUAGGCCAAUAUUUUACUUUACAUAUGCUACUUAUUUUACUUUAAGAACUAAACUUAUCUAAAAAUAUAAAAUAAUUAAUUUGUGUGUCAUGUAGGGAGGCAAACGGAUCCGGGUUGGUGGAGCUCAUGCCCCGAUCCGCCCCGACGAGCGAUCAUGGAAAAAAAUAAAUACAUUCGGGGCGGGAAACGGAGUAAAUUUUACGAUCUAGGACCGAUUCAAAACAGAAAACAGAAAAAAUUUUGACCCGUCCCGAAUCUGUUCCGAAUCCGCUCCGCCAUGAUCCGCCCCAAAUCCGUCCAGAAAAUUAUUUAUAUUUUUAAAAAAUAUCUUAAAAAAUAAUAUAUUUAUAAAAAAAAAAAUUUGAGAAAAAAUAUAUUUAUAAAAAAGUUCAAAAUACAAAUAAAUUAGUAUCCUCAUUUCUAAUGUAUUUGAAAUUUUUGAAUUUUGUUUUGAAUUGUGAAUUAUAUUUUUAAUUUUUAUAAUUGAUAUUAUUAAAAUAUAUAUAUAUAUAUAUAAUAUUAUUAAAAAAUUAUUAAUUUAUAUUUUAUAAAAUAUUAAUAAUAUUAUAAUUUUAUAAAAAAUAUUUGUUGGCGUGGCGGAUUCGGGGCACUAGCGGGAGACGGGUUACGAGGCAUGACGGAUUAUGAAAUGUAUUUUUUAAUCCGUCACGAAUUCGGAGCUGGAUUU